CGCUCCUACCGAUUUUGAGUGAUCCGGUGAACCUUCUGGACUGUGGCCAGGCUCGACCUGGUUGUGGGAAGUUAAGUAAACCUUAUCACUUAGAGGAAGGAGAAGUCGUAACAAGGUUUCCGUAGGUGAACCUGCGGAAGGAUCAUUAACACAAUCUAAAAUCUCACCACACAGCGUUGUUCUUACGAACUCCGACUGGAUAAUAUACAUUUGCAUUUAGGUAGAGGGGAUGAAGAGCUUGAGGAACGAAGCCAGCAAUGGUGUUUUCUCCUCUUUCACUUCGUCUCUUUGAAAACAAAAAGACCUACCUAGAUGUGUUUCAUUUUUAUGAAACCCCAACCUUUUUGUCUUAGAUUACUAAGUCAAAAUAAAAUUAAACUAAGAAAAUUUUCAACGAUGGAUAUCCUGGUUCCCAUAACGAUGAAGAGCGCAGCAAAGUGCGAUAAGCAAUGCGAAUUGCAGAAUUCCGCGAAUCAUCAGAUCCUUGAACGCAACUGGCGCUAGGGGGCUCUCCUCCUAGCAUGUCUGUUUCAGUGUCUGAAAACAUCAUAAUAAACUUAAUGUGAUUGACAAAGGAGAGAAAGGUGAUAGUCUGAUAGAACUUCUAUCUUCUGUUUACUUAUUUCUCUUUCUAAGUCUCUCAUGAAAGAUGUGCAUGUGGGUCUUUGGACUCCUCAUCGGAUUUUGGUCACUGUCUCCAGUGAUUUCGAUCGAGGAGUGUUCUGAUGGAUAUGAAAGCUUGCUUUCAUGUUCUAGGGACUUAACUCAAUUACCCGAAAUUACAUGCAAGAAUCAUUUGGUAGUUUCAUUACUAUCUAAUCUUCAAACUCUGUAUCUGAAAUCAGGCAAGAUC
Molecule: unclassified non-coding RNA, 853 nt
Filed under: uncultured eukaryote
Lineage: Eukaryota
Description: partial contains ITS1, 5.8S rRNA, and ITS2
Rfam family: 5.8S ribosomal RNA (bases 386-539)
Source: RNAcentral